GCCGGGCGUGGUGGCUCACGCCUGUAAUCCCAGCGCUUUGGGAGGCUGAGGUGGGUUGAUCACCUGAGGUCAGGAGUUUGAGACCAGCCUGACCAACAUGGUGAAACCCCGUCUCUA
RNAcentral lists this non-coding RNA (117 nucleotides) under Pan paniscus (pygmy chimpanzee). Lineage: Eukaryota; Metazoa; Chordata; Mammalia; Primates; Hominidae. RNAcentral also lists the same sequence under 1 other name. The record is from Rfam by way of RNAcentral.